RNAcentral lists this ribosomal RNA (492 nucleotides) under uncultured bacterium. RNAcentral's name for it is "partial 16S ribosomal RNA". It matches the Rfam family "Bacterial small subunit ribosomal RNA", at positions 29 to 507 of the family's 1533-position model. The record is from RNAcentral.
AGUGAACGCUGGCGGUAGGCCUAACACAUGCAAGUCGAACGGCAGCACAGUAAGAGCUUGCUCUUACGGGUGGCGAGUGGCGGACGGGUGAGGAAUACAUCGGAAUCUACUUUUUCGUGGGGGAUAACGUAGGGAAACUUACGCUAAUACCGCAUACGACCUACGGGUGAAAGCAGGGGAUCUUCGGACCUUGCGCGAUUGAAUGAGCCGAUGUCGGAUUAGCUAGUUGGCGGGGUAAAGGCCCACCAAGGCGACGAUCCGUAGCUGGUCUGAGAGGAUGAUCAGCCACACUGGAACUGAGACACGGUCCAGACUCCUACGGGAGGCAGCAGUGGGGAAUAUUGGACAAUGGGCGCAAGCCUGAUCCAGCCAUACCGCGUGGGUGAAGAAGGCCUUCGGGUUGUAAAGCCCUGUUGUUGGGAAAGAAAAGCAGCAGGUUAACACCCCGCUGUUCUGACGGUACCCAAAGAAUAAGCACCGGCUAACUUCGUG